Molecule: ribosomal RNA, 692 nt
Filed under: uncultured Bacillus sp.
Lineage: Bacteria; Bacillati; Bacillota; Bacilli; Caryophanales; Bacillaceae
Description: bacterial SSU rRNA
Rfam family: Bacterial small subunit ribosomal RNA
Source: RNAcentral
GCUGGCGGCGUGCCUAAUACAUGCAAGUCGAGCGAAUAGAUUAAGAGCUUGCUCUUAUGAAGUUAGCGGCGGACGGGUGAGUAACACGUGGGUAACCUGCCCAUAAGACUGGGAUAACUCCGGGAAACCGGGGCUAAUACCGGAUAACAUUUUGAACUGCAUGGUUCGAAAUUGAAAGGCGGCUUCGGCUGUCACUUAUGGAUGGACCCGCGUCGCAUUAGCUAGUUGGUGAGGUAACGGCUCACCAAGGCAACGAUGCGUAGCCGACCUGAGAGGGUGAUCGGCCACACUGGGACUGAGACACGGCCCAGACUCCUACGGGAGGCAGCAGUAGGGAAUCUUCCGCAAUGGACGAAAGUCUGACGGAGCAACGCCGCGUGAGUGAUGAAGGCUUUCGGGUCGUAAAACUCUGUUGUUAGGGAAGAACAAGUGCUAGUUGAAUAAGCUGGCACCUUGACGGUACCUAACCAGAAAGCCACGGCUAACUACGUGCCAGCAGCCGCGGUAAUACGUAGGUGGCAAGCGUUAUCCGGAAUUAUUGGGCGUAAAGCGCGCGCAGGUGGUUUCUUAAGUCUGAUGUGAAAGCCCACGGCUCAACCGUGGAGGGUCAUUGGAAACUGGGAGACUUGAGUGCAGAAGAGGAAAGUGGAAUUCCAUGUGUAGCGGUGAAAUGCGUAGAGAUAUGGAGGAAC